UGGCUCACCAAGGCGAUGACGGGUAGCGGGUCUGAGAGGAUGGUCCGUCACACUGGGACUGAGACACUGCCCAGACUCCUACGGGAGGCUGCAGUCGAGAAUCUUCCACAAUGGACGAAAGUCUGAUGGAGCGACGCUGCGUGCAGGAUGAAGGCCUUAGGGUUGUAAACUGCUGUCACGCUAUAGGAACCCGUAGUAGUUAAUACCUGCUGCGCUGACCAAAGCGAGAGGAAGUGCCGGCUAACUCCGUGCCAGCAGCCGCGGUAAUACGGAGGGCGCAAGCGUUGUUCGGAUUCACUGGGCAUAAAGAGCAUGUAGGCGGUCUGCUCAGCCGGAUGUGAAAGCCCUCGGCCCAACCGGGGAACUGCAUCCGAUACUGGUAGACUAGAGGACAGCAAGGGUGAGUGGAACUCCAGGUGGAACGGUGAAAUGUGUAGAUAUCUGGAGGAACACCGGUGGCGAAAGCGGCUCACUGGGCUGUCACUGACGCUGAGAUGCGAAAGCCAGGGGAGCGAACGGGAUUAGAUACCCCGGUAGUCCUGGCCGUAAACGAUGGGCACUAGGCAAUGGGUUUACCUAUGGAACUCCUUGCCGUAGCUA
This 600-nucleotide ribosomal RNA is filed under the name uncultured Actinomycetes bacterium. RNAcentral's name for it is "bacterial SSU rRNA". It matches the Rfam family "Bacterial small subunit ribosomal RNA", at positions 261 to 854 of the family's 1533-position model. The record is from RNAcentral. Lineage: Bacteria; Bacillati; Actinomycetota; Actinomycetes.